AAAGGAAUUGACGGGCACCCGCACAAGCGGUGGAGCAUGCUGUUUAAUUCGAUGCUACGCGAAGAACCUUACCUAGGCUUGACAUCCCUGGCAAAGCUAUAGAAAUAUAGUGGAGGCUAACCGGGUGACAGGUGGUGCAUGGUUGUCGUCAGCUCGUGUCGUGAGAUGUUCGGUUAAGUCCGAUAACGAGCGCAACCCUCAUCAUUAGUUGCUAACAUUUAGUUGAGGACUCUAAUGAGACUGCCGGUGACAAACCGGAGGAAGGUGGGGAUGACGUCAAAUCAUCAUGCCCCUUAUGUCUAGGGCUACAGGCGUGCUACAAUGGCCAUUACAAUGAGAAGCAAUAUCGUGAGGUGGAGCUAAUCUUUAAAGAUGGUCCCAGUUCGGAUUGGAGUCUGCAACUCGACUCCAUGAAGUUGGAAUCGCUAGUAAUCCUAAAUCAGAAUGUUAGGGUGAAUACGUUCCCGGGUGUUGUACACACCGCCCGU
RNAcentral lists this ribosomal RNA (488 nucleotides) under uncultured bacterium. RNAcentral describes it as "bacterial SSU rRNA". It matches the Rfam family "Bacterial small subunit ribosomal RNA", at positions 903 to 1397 of the family's 1533-position model. The record is from RNAcentral.